RNAcentral lists this ribosomal RNA (985 nucleotides) under Escherichia coli DEC5A. RNAcentral describes it as "bacterial LSU rRNA". It matches the Rfam family "Bacterial large subunit ribosomal RNA", at positions 1 to 1026 of the family's 2925-position model. Lineage: Bacteria; Pseudomonadati; Pseudomonadota; Gammaproteobacteria; Enterobacterales; Enterobacteriaceae. The record is from RNAcentral.
UUAAGCGACUAAGCGUACACGGUGGAUGCCCUGGCAGUCAGAGGCGAUGAAGGACGUGCUAAUCUGCGAUAAGCGUCGGUAAGGUGAUAUGAACCGUUAUAACCGGCGAUUUCCGAAUGGGGAAACCCAGUGUGUUUCGACACACUAUCAUUAACUGAAUCCAUAGGUUAAUGAGGCGAACCGGGGGAACUGAAACAUCUAAGUACCCCGAGGAAAAGAAAUCAACCGAGAUUCCCCCAGUAGCGGCGAGCGAACGGGGAGGAGCCCAGAGCCUGAAUCAGUGUGUGUGUUAGUGGAAGCGUCUGGAAAGGCGCGCGAUACAGGGUGACAGCCCCGUACACAAAAAUGCACAUGCUGUGAGCUCGAUGAGUAGGGCGGGACACGUGGUAUCCUGUCUGAAUAUGGGGGGACCAUCCUCCAAGGCUAAAUACUCCUGACUGACCGAUAGUGAACCAGUACCGUGAGGGAAAGGCGAAAAGAACCCCGGCGAGGGGAGUGAAAAAGAACCUGAAACCGUGUACGUACAAGCAGUGGGAGCACAGAGCAAUCUGUGUGACUGCGUACCUUUUGUAUAAUGGGUCAGCGACUUAUAUUCUGUAGCAAGGUUAACCGAAUAGGGGAGCCGAAGGGAAACCGAGUCUUAACUGGGCGUUAAGUUGCAGGGUAUAGACCCGAAACCCGGUGAUCUAGCCAUGGGCAGGUUGAAGGUUGGGUAACACUAACUGGAGGACCGAACCGACUAAUGUUGAAAAAUUAGCGGAUGACUUGUGGCUGGGGGUGAAAGGCCAAUCAAACCGGGAGAUAGCUGGUUCUCCCCGAAAGCUAUUUAGGUAGCGCCUCGUGAAUUCAUCUCCGGGGGUAGAGCACUGUUUCGGCAAGGGGGUCAUCCCGACUUACCAACCCGAUGCAAACUGCGAAUACCGGAGAAUGUUAUCACGGGAGACACACGGCGGGUGCUAACGUCCGUCGUGAAGAGGGAAACAAC